GACGAACGCUGGCGGCGUGCUUAACACAUGCAAGUCGAACGGAAAGGCCCUGCGUUUGUGGGGUGCUCGAGUGGCGAACGGGUGAGUAAAACGUGAGUAACCUGCCCUUGACUUUGGGAUAACUUCUGGAAAAUGGGGCUAAUAUCGGAUAGGAGCUCCUGAUGCAUGGGGGGGGUUGGAGAGUUUCGGCGGUGGGGGAUGGACUCGCGGCUUAUCAGCUUGUUGGUGGGGUAGUGGCUUACCAAGGCUUUGACGGGUAGCCGGCCUGAGAGGGUGACCGGCCACAUUGGGACUGAGAUACGGACCAGACUCCUACGGGCGGCAGCAGUGGGGAAUAUUGCACAAUGGGCGGACGCCUGAUGCAGCGACGCCGCGUGCGGGAUGCCGGCCUUCGGGUUGUAAACCGCUUUCGCCUGUGACGAAGCGUGAGUGACGGUAAUGGGUCAAGAAGCACCGGCUAACUACGUG
Molecule: ribosomal RNA, 468 nt
Filed under: uncultured bacterium
Lineage: Bacteria
Description: partial 16S ribosomal RNA
Rfam family: Bacterial small subunit ribosomal RNA
Source: RNAcentral